This 305-nucleotide ribosomal RNA is filed under the name uncultured bacterium. Its description in RNAcentral is "bacterial SSU rRNA". It matches the Rfam family "Bacterial small subunit ribosomal RNA", at positions 333 to 652 of the family's 1533-position model. The record is from RNAcentral.
AGUAUCCUACGGGACGCAGCAGUGGGGAAUAUUGGGCAAUGGGCGCAAGCCUGACCCAGCAAUGCCGCGUGAAGGAAGAAGGCCCUCGGGUUGUAAACUUCUUUUAUCAGGGACGAAGGAUGUGACGGUACCUGAUGAAUAAGCUCCGGCUAACUACGUGCCAGCAGCCGCGGUAAUACGUAGGGAGCAAGCGUUAUCCGGAUUUACUGGGUGUAAAGGGCGCGUAGGCGGGAUGGCAAGUCAGAUGUGAACUCCAGUGUCUCAACCCCUGAACUGCAUUUGAAACUGUCGUUCUUGAGUACUGG